UGCUUGUAUACCCUUGUAAAUAUGCCCUAAACAGCUCAUGAGGAAAGGUAAACGUUAAGAUGGGAACACACCAGCACCAGCCCCUGGUUUCAUCUCAGCCUCCAAUUAAAGUAUUAAGGCUCCAUGAAGAAAUCUGCUCUACUCUACAGCUGAAGGAGAGAAAGAAGAGAAGAAUGUAAAGAAAGCACAGCAAGACACAACAUCUGUAACCCAGCAUUAGGAAGAGGAGGCAAGAGGACCCAACCGAAAGUCCACAGCCAGCCUGGUCUACACAUGUCUUCAUCCUAAGAGACGUUAAAACUCCUAUCACUCAGCCAGGUGUAGUGACGCACACCUUUAAUCCCAGCACAACCAAGUCCCUGUCAGGGGAAGAAGAAGAAGGAAAAAAGCCUCAGGUCACUGACUCCCAGCCCCUCACAGCAUGUCAGGAAUGUGGUGCACAGUUCUAAGCUGCCACACAAACGUUGAUAAGCACUGUAAAGCACCAGGGAAGGGAGGACAGGGCAGCAUCCUAACAAGGCAAACUAGAGGAGCUCACACCCCAAGGCUCAAGACAAAGGAGAAGAGGUCUCAGGACUCUGGGCUUCAAACAAAUUCAGAAUUGCCCUAAGAAGACAGGGUAAUAUAUGAUGGACAAAUAAAAAAAUGGAGAGAAAACAAGCAAUAAUUGUAACUGAAUAAUGUCAUUCAUGAGAUGUGUUAAAACUACAAGGUGGCUCACUUUGAAUGUGAUUUUUAAUGCCCAUCACCACUCAUUCAGCUGUUUACCAAGGCCAAGUAUGUGCUAGGUGCUAGGAUCAACAGUGACUAGGUAGACAAGAUGUCCUCCUCCGUGGGAAAGUGAGGUAUGAGGAGGAGACAAGAGUUGAUGGAGACAUGGACGAAGACGGCGGCAGUGGGGCCAGCCCCAGGCCUGCACUCCCAUCAGCUGACUGCCCGCCUCUAGACUCCACCGAGAAAGAACAGGACUGGGCACAAGGGGUCCAAAGCAGACGUCAAAGCCGCCUACCACCUGCAGGGCAGAGAACAGAGGACAGCCUGCCUAGAACAUACUGGGCCCCCCACUGAGCAGAGACAGCAUAGGGAUCCUCUAGCAGCAUCCCACUGAGAAGGAGAACAAGAACUACCAGAGACUAGGAUCUUAGGGCUCACAGAGAUUCCAGGGGAACACAGAGGAGAGCUCCAGCAGCAGGUCUGACCACACGGUACGACAGGGGUCACCUAUGCUUCCAGGCUUGUCUGAUCCUUGACUUGAACACCAGCUCAGAGGCUCACCCUCCUUACCAAAGCUCGCCCCCUGCUCCCUUCAAGUCCCUUCAGACCACAAAACUCAGGCUCACCAUGUGCCACCUAUGUGCCAAGUGCUAGGAACUCGUGCAAACAGGCAGACAAAGGGGCUCCUAGGAGAACCCUGAGACCUCCUCCCUCAUCUUCACUGCCUCGGUGGCACUCAUCCUAGCCUCCACUGCAUCGAAAUGUGAGUGCUUUAAACGUAAGAGUGCCUGCUCUUCACGAAACUCCAAACCCAUGUCCACAGCUCAUUCUGUAAAGCCACCUAGACCCUGGUCAGCUUCAGCCCCUUAGGUCAGUAAGCCGCAGCCAGCUCCAGUCAUCCAUAGAAGCCCUUUCCUUCCUGUGCGUUAAAGACUGUCAGCUCCAGCCUUUCAGUUGCCUGGCAACAAAGCUUGACAGGGAGAAAAAUACACAGUUACAUUUAAAAUUCUAAGUGCAAAAAAUACAUAUAAUUUGCUACUAAAGACAGUCAUU
Long non-coding RNA from Peromyscus maniculatus bairdii (prairie deer mouse), 1767 nucleotides. RefSeq lists it as uncharacterized. The record is from RefSeq and is a predicted model, not a curated record. NCBI's taxonomy places the organism in Eukaryota, Metazoa, Chordata, Mammalia, Rodentia, Cricetidae.